UUGGACUGGCCCACCACACUUCCUGGUUUGAAAUUUGAAGAUGAAAUAUUGUAUCUAAAAUAAUUUCGGAAUACAGGCGGCACAAUGGUUAGCACAUCUCCCUCACAGCUCUGAGGGCCAGGGUUCAAAUCCCGCCUCGUCAGUGUGGGGUUUGGAUUUUCCUCCUGUGCCCGCGUGGGUUUCCUCCAGGUACUCCUGUUUCCUCCCACAUCCCUGAAACAUGCACGGCAGGUGUUAAUUGUUUCCAGUGGUUUUUCUUCCCUGCUAAUCAGCGUUGACAGUGUGUGAUGUUCCGCAGGGGAAGCUUCCCUUUUCCCUGCCUUCAGUCUUCAACCAGCCAGGAGGAAAAAGAAUCUGUAAGUUGAGCGAAGGAGAGCGUCCUUUCCUCAGGUCAUUAGCAUGUCCAAACCAGAGGUACCCAGAGAGCCUCGCUACACACUAUAAGAAAGACACUUUGCAGACUAGAAGAAUACAUUUCUACUUAAUUAAUCCCACUCCUUCCUUUCGCUAUUUAAAGGCAAUGGUCUGUUUAACAACUUUC
This is a long non-coding RNA of Syngnathoides biaculeatus (alligator pipefish), 541 nucleotides long. RefSeq lists it as uncharacterized. Lineage: Eukaryota; Metazoa; Chordata; Actinopteri; Syngnathiformes; Syngnathidae. The transcript has 3 exons. The record is from RefSeq and is a predicted model, not a curated record.